RNAcentral lists this small RNA (981 nucleotides) under Pan troglodytes (chimpanzee). RNAcentral describes it as "processed transcript". The record is from RNAcentral. Lineage: Eukaryota; Metazoa; Chordata; Mammalia; Primates; Hominidae.
AGUUGGCUGCGACCAGCGGUGACUUACAAGUUGGCUGCUGUCGCCUGCGCAUCGGCGGGCCGGGAGGCUGAGCAGUACUGUUGAGAGCGGUGUGAGGUGUUUGGUAGCGCGCCGUGGCUGCUUCCACGUCCUUGCUUCACCUCAGGUAAAGAAAGAUGUAACUGUUUGGAGAAAACCCUCAGAAGAAUUUAAUGGAUAUCUCUACAAAGCCCAAGGUGUUAUAGAUGACCUUGUCAAUAGUAUAAUAGACCAUAUACGCCCAGGGCCUUGUCGUUUGGAUUGGGACAGCUUGAUGACUUCUUUGGAUAUUCUGGAGAACUUUGAAGAGAAUUGCUGUGUGAUGCGUUACACUACUGCUGGUCAGCUUUGGAAUAUAAUUUCCCCAAGAGAAUUUGUUGAUUUCUCCUAUACUGUGGGCUAUAAAGAAGGGCUUUUAUCUUGUGGUAAUAAUCUCAACAUGUUAUGCUUUUUUUCAGUAUGGUUUAAAUAUUUGUGUUUUCUUGGCUGGAUGUUUCUUUCCUUGUGAGAUAUAUUUUCAACUCUGACUCUGUAAUCACUAACAUUUUUUGCAAAUGCUAAACUCUAGGGAGUAAAAUAGCAAUAUCAGAAGAGUUUUGAAACCCUUCUGAUAAGUUUUUGUUCCCAGUUACACAGUAUCCUCUAGGUCAGAGGUAGCAAAUGUGGAUCACAUGACUGCCUCUAAGAAAGGGUUCUAGUAAAUGGAUUUUCUUCUAAGCCACUCUCAGAAAACAGUUUCUUGGUCAUACACAUAGAAGUACUAGAUUUGGUGUGUCUUAGAAUAUUCUUCCUUCCUUGAGCUGUGUUGUAUUUUUCUUUUCAAGAUUAAAAAUACUGCCAUUGGAAGGCUCCUGUUUUCUAAAACGUACCUAUAGGUAAAUUAAUAUUAUUUUGUAUAUAGUAUAUACUUAAGUUAGCAGUUGUAAGUAAACAUCUACUUGUUUAUUCUUAACUAGCCAGUAC